Bos taurus (domestic cattle) is the source of this 71-nucleotide non-coding RNA. Lineage: Eukaryota; Metazoa; Chordata; Mammalia; Artiodactyla; Bovidae. The record is from Rfam.
UCCCAGGUGGCUCAAUGGCAAAGAAUCUGCCUGCCAAGCAGAAGACAUGGGUUCCAUUCCUGGGUUGGGAA